UACUGCUGACUAGCGGGAAAACUAGGAC
RNAcentral lists this non-coding RNA (28 nucleotides) under Homo sapiens (human). Lineage: Eukaryota; Metazoa; Chordata; Mammalia; Primates; Hominidae. The record is from RNAcentral.